This 406-nucleotide ribosomal RNA is filed under the name uncultured bacterium. Its description in RNAcentral is "partial 16S ribosomal RNA". It matches the Rfam family "Bacterial small subunit ribosomal RNA", at positions 30 to 526 of the family's 1533-position model. The record is from RNAcentral.
AUUGCACGCUGGCGGCAGGCCUAACACAUGCAAGUCGAACGAGUGGCGGACGGGUGCGUAAUGUCUGGGAAACUGCCCGAUGGCGGGGGCUCACUCCUGGACACUGUAGCUAAUACCGCAUACCAUCGGAUGUGCCCAGAUGGGAUUCGCUAGUAGGUGGGGGAACGGCUCACCUAGUCGACUAUCCCUAGCUGGUCUGAGAGGAUGACCAGCCAAACGGGAACUGAGACACGGUCCAGACUCCUACGGGAGUCAGCAGUGGGGAAUAGUGCACAAUGGGCGCAAGCCUGAUGCAGCCAUGCCGCGUGUAUGAAGAAGGCCUUCGGGUUGUAAAGUACUUUCAGCGAGGAGGCGUGACUCGCAGAAGAAGCACCGGCUAACUCCGUGCCAGCAGCCGCGGUAAUUC